UACGGAGGGGGUUAGCGUUGUUCGGAAUGACUGGGCGUAAAGCGCGCGUAGGCGGGCUGGAAAGUUGGGGGUGAAAUCCCGGGGCUCAACCCCGGAAUGGCCUUCAAAACUCCCAGCCUAGAGUUCGAGAGAGGUGAGUGGAAUUCCGAGUGUAGAGGUGAAAUUCGUAGAUAUUCGGAGGAACACCAGUGGCGAAGGCGGCUCACUGGCUCGACACUGACGCUGAGGUGCGAAAGCGUGGGGAGCAAAC
Molecule: ribosomal RNA, 250 nt
Filed under: uncultured bacterium
Lineage: Bacteria
Also listed under: 1 other name
Description: partial 16S ribosomal RNA
Rfam family: Bacterial small subunit ribosomal RNA
Source: RNAcentral